CUCCUUCGAGCCUAGGAGGUUGAUAGGUUGGGGGUGUAAGGGCUGCGAGGCCUUUAGCUGACCAAUACUAAUAAGUCGAAGUUUUAACCUUGAAUUUACUAUAUAGUUUC
Molecule: ribosomal RNA, 110 nt
Filed under: Fusobacterium mortiferum
Lineage: Bacteria; Fusobacteriati; Fusobacteriota; Fusobacteriia; Fusobacteriales; Fusobacteriaceae
Description: partial 23S ribosomal RNA
Rfam family: Bacterial large subunit ribosomal RNA (bases 1-91)
Source: RNAcentral